UACGUAGGGUGCGAGCGUUGUCCGGAAUUAUUGGGCGUAAAGAGCUCGUAGGCGGUUUGUCACGUCUGCUGUGAAAUCCCGAGGCUCAACCUCGGGCCUGCAGUGGGUACGGGCAGACUGGAGUGCGGUAGGGGAGAAUGGAAUUCCUGGUGUAGCGGUGGAAUGCGCAGAUAUCAGGAGGAACACCGAUGGCGAAGGCAGUUCUCGGGGCCGUAACUGACGCUGAGGAGCGAAAGCGUGGGGAGCGAACAGG
Molecule: ribosomal RNA, 253 nt
Filed under: uncultured bacterium
Lineage: Bacteria
Description: partial 16S ribosomal RNA
Rfam family: Bacterial small subunit ribosomal RNA
Source: RNAcentral